RNAcentral lists this ribosomal RNA (253 nucleotides) under uncultured bacterium. RNAcentral's name for it is "partial 16S ribosomal RNA". It matches the Rfam family "Bacterial small subunit ribosomal RNA", at positions 524 to 776 of the family's 1533-position model. The record is from RNAcentral.
UACGUAGGUGGCAAGCGUUGUCCGGAAUUAUUGGGCGUAAAGCGCGCGCAGGCGGUCUUUUAAGUCUGAUGUGAAAGCCCCCGGCUCAACCGGGGAGGGUCAUUGGAAACUGGGAGACUUGAGUGCAGAAGAGAAGAGCGGAAUUCCACGUGUAGCGGUGAAAUGCGUAGAGAUGUGGAGGAACACCAGUGGCGAAGGCGGCUCUUUGGUCUGUAACUGACGCUGAGGCGCGAAAGCGUGGGGAGCAAACAGG